AUACGGAGGAUGCGAGCGUUAUCCGGAUUUAUUGGGUUUAAAGGGAGCGUAGGUGGGAUAUUAAGUCAGCUGUGAAAGUUUGGGGCUCAACCUUAAAAUUGCAGUUGAUACUGGUUUCCUUGAGUACGAUACAGGUGGGCGGAAUUCGUGGUGUAGCGGUGAAAUGCUUAGAUAUCACGAAGAACUCCGAUCGCGAAGGCAGCUCACCGGGCCGGAACUGACACUGAUGCUCGAAAGUGCGGGUAUCAAACAGGAUUAGAUACCCUGGUAGUCCGCACAGUAAACGAUGAAUACUCGCUGUUUGCGAUACACUGUAAGCGGCCAAGCGAAAGCGUUAAGUAUUCCACCUGGGGAGUACGCCGGCAACGGCGAAACUCAAAUGAAUUGGCGGGG
This 393-nucleotide ribosomal RNA is filed under the name uncultured bacterium. Its description in RNAcentral is "partial 16S ribosomal RNA". It matches the Rfam family "Bacterial small subunit ribosomal RNA", at positions 523 to 918 of the family's 1533-position model. The record is from RNAcentral.